GUCAGCAGCUGUACCACCUGUAGCUCAGACUAGGUAAUCCCUGUGAAGCUAAACAGGUUUGGAUCUGGCCAGUACUUGGAUAGGAGACACACUAUGAAAGCAGGGUUGCCCCCG
This 114-nucleotide ribosomal RNA is filed under the name Paramormyrops kingsleyae. The record is from RNAcentral. Lineage: Eukaryota; Metazoa; Chordata; Actinopteri; Osteoglossiformes; Mormyridae.